ACGCUCGACACCUACGGGAGGCAGCAGUGGGGAAUAUUGCACAAUGGGGGAAACCCUGAUGCAGCGACGCCGCGUGAAGGAAGAGGUAUCUCGGUAUGUAAACUUCUAUCAGCAGGGAAGAAAAUGACGGUACCUGACUAAGAAGCCCCGGCUAACUACGUGCCAGCAGCCGGCGGUAAUCUGAGCGGGCUGGCAAGGC
Molecule: ribosomal RNA, 199 nt
Filed under: uncultured bacterium
Lineage: Bacteria
Description: partial 16S ribosomal RNA
Rfam family: Bacterial small subunit ribosomal RNA
Source: RNAcentral